CCAUACAACCUGGGGGUUUACAUCUUUUAGAUCGGUCCCUUGCGCAAUUUAAAUACGGAAGCACAUCCAACAACUCCCUUCCCUAUGUUCAGAAAACGAUGCACACCUACUAAACAUCUUAUAUAAGUUAAAGCCGAAUACGUUUAUUUACAUAGAGUAGAUGGACAUCUUUAGUCAGUACAUCAAAAUGCCGUAGUUUUCUAUACUCGGCUACACUUCAAAGGAUG
RNAcentral lists this long non-coding RNA (227 nucleotides) under Eucalyptus grandis. Its description in RNAcentral is "long non-coding RNA (EGRA_LNC006714)". Lineage: Eukaryota; Viridiplantae; Streptophyta; Magnoliopsida; Myrtales; Myrtaceae. The record is from RNAcentral.